AUGGCAGGUUUGAAGCCUUCGGCCCAUGAGACGGCUGUGCUUCAGCGGGCGGGGCCUGAAGCUGUGACUGGGGGGGCGGGGGGGGCGGUUGGAAGAGCUGCUGGCGGUGCCAGGAAGGGUCACUGCGCUUCAGCGCUGCCCAGAGCCCCGGGCUGGAAUCAGGAGCCACCGCGGCCGGGAGGCAGGGGGGUGGGAAAGUGACGGGGGGGGUCAGCAAAGGGGGGGACAGUGUCCAGGGACAUCUGUAACGAGUGAGGUUACACGUGACCCCCUGGGACCCUCUGGGACCCUCUGAGGACUUCCCGAGGCAGCAGGACACACCAGAGGUGUGAAGAGAGUUGAGCUGCGAGAUGGACUUUUGGGUUGAUUCUCUUUCUCGUAAACGUGGCUUCGGGACGGUCACUGGAUCAGAAGGUAACCUCCCAGGAGGGUCUCGGGGCCUGAGGCCUGGUUUUAAAGCCCGUGUUUGGCGCGUAUCUUACUGUCGUUGUUUAUCUGAGGUUCUGGUUCCUACUAACGCUUAACCAGCCAUUAGCUGUUAUUAGUGGAGCUGAAGUGAUGAGGCGGUGAAACGCUGCCCGCUUUUACUGGAUGAAAGGAGAGACUUUGGGGUGAGCAGGGCUCCCAGUUGUGCUGCUUGUCUGCCGAGAGGCCCUGCGGAUGGAGGCGGCUCUCCUGAACCGGCCCAAGCUCUGAGGUGGCCCCUCUGUUGUCGUCCUGACGCCGGGAAGCCGCCAGUUCUGUGUGUCACCAACUGUCACGAACGCGGGCGAUGGACAGGGACGGAGCGGGGGGCCAGGACAGCAGGUGGAGUCAGGGCCCCACUGCAGAAUCUUACCCUCCAGCCACCCUUCUCCUGGGCUCGACUUCCUCUGGAAGCCAAGAGUGGGCCAGGGGUUCUCAAGGAAUGGGGUGCUAGCGCGGCUGCCACCCACCCUCCCUCACAGAGCAGAGUCCAAAGGCUAUUCUAGGUGUGGUCUUUCCGGUUCCUUUGGGGCCCCCAAAUAGUUUGAGUGGGUCGCAGUGGAAAGCAGGGCCAUUCUUCCUUGAACGCAAACGCACAUGCCCAGAAACUAACACACUCAGUGAUGAAAAAUUGAAGAGCUUUUCCCACUGUCAUCAGGAACAAGGCGGGGAACCCCACUGUCACCACUUCUACUCGACACGGCACCGCAAGUCCUGGCCAGGUAACUUGGACAAGAAAAAUAACGCAAAGGAAUAUAAAAUAGAAAGGUAGAAGUAAAAUGAUCUAUAUUAUAUACAGAUGACAUCAUCCUGUAUUUAGAAAACCCCAAAGACAUCACAAAAAUAUUAUUGGACAUAAUAAAUUCAGUAAAGUUGUAGGAUACAAAUUAAACAUACAAAAAUCAGUUGCAUUUCUAUAGGCAAACAUAGAACCAUCUGAAAAGGAAAUUAAGAAAACAAUACUAUUUACUGUAACAUUAAAAAGGGUAAAAUAUAUAGAAAUAAACUCAACCAAGGAAGCAAAAGUGUUGUACCAAAAAACCUACGAAAUACUGGUGAAAGUAAUUAAAGGAGAUACAACCCAAUGGAAAGACACUCCACAUCCAUGGAUUGAAAGAUUUAAUAUUAAAAUGUCCAAACCCAAAGCAAUCCACAGAGUCAAUGCUAUCCUUAUCAUAAUCUCAAUAACAUUUUUAACAAUCCUAAAAUUCAUAUGGAACCACAAAAGACCCCAAACAACCAAAUCAGUUUCUGAGAAAAAUGAACAAAGCUAGAGGCAUCAGACUUCCAGAUAUCAAAAUACAUCACAAAGCUACAGCAAAGUACCAUCAUCAACAAAUGGUGCCGGGAACACUAGAUGAAGAAUGAAGUUGAACUCUUAUUUACAUCAAGGGGGCAGAAAAACAGACAAAUGGAACUGCAUCAAACUAAAAAGCUUCUGUACAGCAAAGGGAACCAUCAACGAAAGUGCAAAUGUAGCCUAUGGGACGGAGAAAACACUUACAAAGCACGUAUCUGAGAAGGGAUGAAUUCCAAAAUAUACAAGCAAAUCAUACAAUUCAAUCAUGAAGACCAAACAACUGAUGAAAAAUUGGGAAAUGACUUGAACAGACCUUUCUCCAAAGAAGAUAUGCAAAUGGCCAGCAUGUGUGUGAGCCGUGCUGCACAUCGCUGGUCAUCAGCAAAUCAAAACUGCAAUGAGAUAUCACCUCGCACCUGUCAGAAUGGCUGUUAAAAAACCCCAAACAGCAAGAGUUGGUGGGGGGAUGGAGAAGAGGGGACCCGGUGCAGCUGUUUGGGGGCGUGGCAAGGGGUUCGGCCACUGUGGGAAACAGUGUGGAGGUUCCCCACACCAAGCUGCGAAAAUGCUGUUUGGUGUUUUAAGACAAAGGCGUGAGCUUUGAGAGGCGGCCUGGCGGCCUGGGAAGAGUGCAGGUUAAACCUCUCUUUGCCACAUUCCACGUCGUCUUAGGGCAGCACAUGGACAGCACCAUCUCCCCACUGAGUUACCGCGAGGGUUCAAGGAGAAGACGUCCGUGACAGCAGGUGCCAAGCAGUAGGUGACCAUCAAACAGGAAACCCUGCUUCCUUCUGUCUUCCUCUGAGGUCACCUGUACGGUCCUCUCAUCGGCCUGUGAGCCCCAUCCAAGAACACCCCACACGGCGGCUCAUGUGGGACCCAGGUGUCCCGGGACCGCAGAGGAGGUGGGCGAUGCAGAUGGAGGGAAGAACUGAGCUUGGAGAAGGAAACUGCUCUCGCCCUCGCCCUCUUGACACCACUCGUCUCAAACUAAGUGCCGUCGCUUGGGUGUCCCUUGCUCCUGUGCUGAGCCAGUGCCCGCCGCAGCUGCCAGCUGGAGCCCUGCUUACCUUCCUAGCUGAACCCUCCGUCCAGUGGGUUAUUGAUCAGCUUCCUAGGGUGACAGGGUAGACUUUCUGCAAAUGCUACGAUGUACAAAUCAAGGCAGCUAAUUAACAGCAAAAGAUUGCUUUGACAAGCCGUGAGGUCUUUCUUGCCCAGACUGAAGAAAGAUGCUGUCUACUGUGAAAAAUUGUAAAUCUGUCUUUGCUAUGUCUUGCUAAACAUAUUUUCACAAAAUUAGAAAGAGUCCACCUGUUCUCUUGCCAUUGACGCUAACUUUCGGGGUUAUUAGCCUUUGCUCUUGAUGAUUCUGACUUGGGUUUGAAUUCCACCCGGCAAAUAAAAACGCGUGAGCCGGCAUUGCUAGCCGCUGUGACGCGGAUGUGUUGGGGUGCUUUUCUUCCUUCUUAUUUUUUCUUGUCCACGAUGCCUUUGUCUUGGACAGACUUCUGCUCUGAGGCGGGCUCUGUUAAGUUUCAUUAGAUGGAAUGGCUCCCGCGGGGAGAGCCCGGAAGCGUUUUCAAAGACAGAAGGAGAGACGGGAACGUCCUGCGGCUGCUCUGUGCCCCUGGGUGACCCUGUCACAGCAGGUGUGGUGGCCCACCUGGUUCUGGCAGGGGAGGGCUUGGGGGGCAGGGAGGGUCCCUGUCCCUUUACCUCUAGCUGGACGAUUACCUUGGCUGCUCAGCUGUGUUAUUGAGCCAUUUCAGCGUGAAAUUUGUUUUUUCUCACUGAACUUUAAGCAGAAUUUCAAGUGCCAAGUCUCCGAAGCCGAGUGGGGCUAUUAAGCGAUAAUUAGUAAUUAUGCUAAUUUGAGAAGUAGCUGCCUUCGCCUUCCCGGUCAUUCCACGCCUGCUCUCCCGAGUCUGGUGGGGGCCGCGAGCCGAGCCUCUGUGCCCCGGGGCCUGUGGGUCUGGCGUCCGUCCGAGGGAAGGAAGGCCGGGGGUGUCCCGGGAGCCCGCGUGCUCCUCACCCGAGACGCAUGCUGGUUAGAAGUUCGUCCUGCGCCAACCGCACCUGCUGUCCCUUGUCCUCAGACCUGGACAGCAGUUCACCCUCCGCUGUGUCUGCAUUUUCCUCAUCAUCUCUGAGUCUUAACAGCGAGUCCCGCGUGUCCGUGUCUGUGUCCCGAAGCUCUGAAUUAGGCACCAGGGCGUCACGGGUCUUUUUCUCCUAAAAUGUCACGUUUAGAAGAACAAAUCACGGACUUCUAUGGAGUCGAUCCCGUGAACGCGGCCUCUGCGACGGCCCAGGGGAAGCAGCUGGACCAGCGAGAACGAGAUGAUGUUUGGAAAAUCCACCUUCGCGUGGGUGUUGGUGAGACCCCCUCACCCCAUUCACUCCGCCCCCCGGAGCGGGGACCUGCCCGGCUGUAAAUUCCGGUGAUGGAUCCCUGGCCUCGCUUCCCCAGAGGUCCCCAGGUCCCGCCCCUGCCCCCUCCGGCGUCACAGCUGCUCCUCCAUUCGAUCUCAUCUUGCCCUUGACCCGGUGCUGGACGUCAGCCCUGCUCCCGACACUGCUUCUCAACCUGCUCAGACCCCUGGAGAAGAGCAGGGCUUUCCACACGCUCCCGAAAUGCCCCGCUUCUCCCCAUGAGCUGCAGGGUGGGCACAGCCAGCCAGGGCGCAUAUGGAAAGGCGGUGUGACCUGCGCAGACACUGCUGGAAGUCAGUGCUCACAGACUCCCCGGGAGCCUUCAGCCAGCAGCCGUGGGGCAGAGCGGUCCCCUGAGGCCUGGCCAGUCCUGGGCUCACCAGGUCCAAGCCUGGGUGCGUCCCUGAAACCAGCGGCUCCACCUGAGAGCUGCAGCUGCAUCUGACCAACCUGCCUGCUGGUCCUGUGGGAGCUGGUGCUGCCACCUUCAAGGUGAGAAGGUGAGGAUGGAGCCACAGCUCACAGCGGAGGGACGGGCACACACCUGGCACCCUGGGGAGGACUCGGCGAGCAGGACCCGCGCUGAUGGGUGUGGCACGGCAGUGGUGGCAGCUCUGCGCACUGGGGGCUCUGAUGGGAGCUCUCUGCCCCGGGCUCCUUCGUAAGGUGCCC
This 4873-nucleotide long non-coding RNA is filed under the name Sus scrofa (pig). Its description in RNAcentral is "lncRNA (ENSSSCG00015018610.1)". Lineage: Eukaryota; Metazoa; Chordata; Mammalia; Artiodactyla; Suidae. The record is from RNAcentral.